This 404-nucleotide long non-coding RNA is filed under the name Rosa chinensis. Its description in RNAcentral is "sRNA RchiOBHm_Chr4g0419451". The record is from RNAcentral. Lineage: Eukaryota; Viridiplantae; Streptophyta; Magnoliopsida; Rosales; Rosaceae.
AUGUUUGAAUGGGUGUGCUCUUUUGUUAGGCACAUGCUAUCAUUUCAAGCAUGCAAACUUGUGAAGUGUGAACUGGAUGGAGGUGCUUAACCGAGUGUUCUGAACUGCCACCCGCGCCACACUGCUCAGAUUUGUUUGCGUUGGGACAGUGGCAAGAUUUCAGGCUAUUCUGGUGGUCAAGCAGCAGUUAUAGAAGAUUAUUGACAAUCUGGUUAUGCGGAACCAUCAAGAAGCAGUUAGCGAAUAUGAACAAAAAUAAAUAUCAAAGAGACCAAGUUGGCCAAUCUUAACCUGAUUCUAAGUUACUUGGUGUAAUAAUAAAUAGGCAACUAGCAGUUAAGCCUCACUUGACCUGAUUCUAGGCCGUAACCAUUGUUGUUUUCUCUGUUUUUUUAUGGGGCUCC